CGUGCGGGAUGAAGGCCUUCGGGUUGUAAACCCCUUUCAACCGGGACGAAACCGCUGGGACCAACACCCGAAGCGGUUGACAACUCCGGCCGAAUAACCACCGGAAUACUACGUGUGCGAAGCUUCUUUAAUAUUUUUGGUGCUAGAGGGAGUCUAAGUUGCUGGGCGUGAAGCGUGCGCAAGCUGUGGGUUCAACUGGUGGUGAAAUCGCCAGGCUGCACCGGUGAACUGCGAUAGAAGCUGGUGUAAUUCACUGUGUAACAGGGAGGUGGAAUUCUAUGUGUAGGAACACAUUGCGUAAAUAUGCGGAGGAACACCACUGCUGAAGGUAACCCCCUGGACUAACACUGACGCUCAGGAUCAAAUACCCGGGGAGAAAACAGGAUUAGAUACCCUGG
RNAcentral lists this ribosomal RNA (398 nucleotides) under uncultured soil bacterium. RNAcentral's name for it is "bacterial SSU rRNA". It matches the Rfam family "Bacterial small subunit ribosomal RNA", at positions 400 to 790 of the family's 1533-position model. The record is from RNAcentral.